RNAcentral lists this ribosomal RNA (979 nucleotides) under Triticum aestivum (bread wheat). RNAcentral's name for it is "partial small subunit ribosomal RNA". The record is from RNAcentral. Lineage: Eukaryota; Viridiplantae; Streptophyta; Magnoliopsida; Poales; Poaceae.
UUAGAAUCGGAGAGCAGGCUAAGGCAGGAGAGAGCCAAAGAGGAAGGAGCGGGGAGCCCAACUGAGGAGGAGGGAGCUGGGGUACCCUCGCUUUCACGUGUCUUCGCUUGACAGCAGGAGCUCACCUUUGCAGGCACGUAUUACUUAGGGAUCGGCAGAGGGUAAGGGGUAGGGAAAGAGAGGGGUUGGUAUCUUUUGGGGUACGCCCCUGCCUGUGUCGUCUUGCGUCGAAGUAGAUCCCAAACGCCGGUGGCCGCCCCAUCUUGGCCGCCGCUACCGCGCCGUUCUAGCGUUCCACUAGCUAUAUCUCCUACCCGCCUCGGCGUCAAGUCGAGUCUCAUGAGCACUAAGAGAUGUCCAUCCAGUGGAGAGCGGGGGGGAGGUAGGCCGGUACGCUUUCGGAGGCGACGACGAUACGACAUGCAUACCUCUACUAGAGGGUGCUUCGUCGCACCAACGGUUCGUACUGUACUGACUUACGGGCUACCAGUACUAUGCUAGGCCAUCUAAUGACCUUGCAGAUCCUUGACGAGCUAUACUGUCGAAUGUGUUCUUCCUUGCGUCGGUUUUCUUGUGGCUAUCAGCAUUCUUUGUCUUCUGUUUUGUGUCUUAACCUAGUUUUAGAAUGAGCGUUGAUUCAAAACUCUUCUCUUUGAACCUUUGAUCUCUUCUCGGUCUAACAUAACGAGACACCCUUGAGUGCGUGUGCUUCUUACCUCGUACCAGAUUGUGUCUCAGGGUCCUACAAAUGUCCGCCACCACCGGCCUCAGCUCGCGGUGCUCGAGCGGCCGCCACUCCACCAAGCCCGCGCUUUACUUCUGCCGCUGUGACGCGCGAAGCCCCGAUCGCCCUUCCGGUCCCCCCUCGACGCGCAGCGCGGCUCGUGUUUCCUGAGCCGGGGCACUGGUAAACCAGUGGCCUUCCCGCGGCCGCUGCGCACGUCCGCCGCCGCGCCAGCCCACGAAGCCGCCAUCGAUC